AAACAGAGCAGCUGCCAUAAGCAGAGUUCUCAAAUAAUCAUUUGUGUGGAAAUCAAAAAGGAGGGCAACACAGUCUCUGCCCUCAGGAAACUCCGGAAGGGAGGAGAGGACAGCUGAGUGGAAGGUCAACCAGUCCAACUUCUCAUGUUUCAGAAGAGGAAAGCAAGGUCUGGAGAGGGAACGUGGCUUGCCCAAGAUAUGUUUCAAACUUUGAUGAAAAGCAGGGAAGUUUGGGAAGAAAAUCCAAGACUUCUCUGGAGAGAGACCAGGAAACAGGCUCAGAGAGAAGAAGGGAAUUAUGUACCUCGGUUUAGAGCCAAAGUGUCCUGCCUGCAUUCCAGCUGUUUCCAUCCAUGUCCAUGUCAACUGGCAUCUGGAACUACUCGUAGCAGCAUCCACUCAAUGUGAGUUGACUAAAUGGAGGAAAAUCUACUAUGGUGCUUGGAAAAACUGGGACUCUCAUGAUUUAGGAUAUAAAGAUUUGUCGUCUGUCUGAAUGGAAGAAAGAACAGGGCAGUGCUGUGGGGACACUAGGACGUCCUAAGGAAACACACUCACUAAUUUAGGGUAAUCAAUCAGGUAAUACUAUUUAUGGGCUAUUAAUGAUACAUGAGGAUCACACUCGGCCCAAGUUCUUUGCUUUGUUUCACUCUCUUGCUCUGACACCCUCUCCUAAGUUUCAAGGCUUUUCCCUCCCACCACCCCUCCCAGCCAUAUCACCACCACCAUAUUUUAAUUCCCCAUUUUUCUUUUUUUCUUUCUUUUUUUUUUUUUUUUUUUGAGACAGAGUCUUCCUCUGUCACCCAGGCUGGAGUGCAAUGGCACGAUCUUGGCUCACUGCAACCUCCGCCUCCUGGAUUCAAGUGAUUUUCCUGCCUCAGCCUCCUGAGUAGCAGGGAUUACCGGCACGCACCACCAUGCCUGGCUAUUUUUUUUUUUCUGGUUUUUUUUUUUUUUUUUUUUUUUUUUUUGUAGAGGCAGGGUUUCAUUCAGCAUGUUGGCCAGGCUGGUCUUGAACGCCUGACCUCAGGUGAUCUGCCCACCUCGGCCUCCCAAAGUGCUGGGAUUACAGUCACUGUGCCAGGCCCUUAUUCCCCAUUUUUCUGUCCACCCUCCCUUUGUCACCAUCGCAAACGUCUCCCAGGACGGACUGGGCUUGCCUUCAUAUUGACCACGCAUGUUUAUGCUGGGACACUCUUUCCUUUUUGAGGUUCUUCCCUCUUAUUGAUGUGCUUAUUAAUUAAUCAGAUGUUUACUGAACACCUGCAUGCAAGACCCUUUCCUAGCGUCACUGCGUAUGAAUAAUCAUUGAAAAUUACACAGAGUUUGGUAUAUGUCUCGUAAGAACUAAAGAGGAAAAGUUACUCUAUAGAAUCCUAAAAUGAAAUAACUUCUAAGCAACAAGAUAGCAGUAAAAAGCUUGAGUUUUUAUUAAUGUAUUAUUAUUAUUUAUUAAUUAUAUUCCUCUGUCUGAAAUCUUCCCUCAGUCACCAGGGUGGAAUCGAUAAAUGGCAACAUUUUCCUCUCUGAUGUUUUUUAACUGCAUUAAAAGGCAUGGAGUUUUAAUUUCACAUGCAUUUGUUUCUGGGUCUUGGGUCGUUUUUUUUUUUUUUCUUCUUCCUCAAAGCAGAUAAAUGAGGUUCCAAACUUCAGAUAAUAAGGCUUAACAGUGAGGCGCUUUUUAAAAAGUGAAUCAUUUCUCAGUUCUCCUUUGCUAACCUCUCUUGGUA
This 1730-nucleotide long non-coding RNA is filed under the name Homo sapiens (human). RNAcentral's name for it is "HSALNT0066643". Lineage: Eukaryota; Metazoa; Chordata; Mammalia; Primates; Hominidae. The record is from RNAcentral.